This 1149-nucleotide long non-coding RNA is filed under the name Zalophus californianus (California sea lion). RNAcentral's name for it is "lncRNA (ENSZCAG00015003937.1)". Lineage: Eukaryota; Metazoa; Chordata; Mammalia; Carnivora; Otariidae. The record is from RNAcentral.
CUCAGAAAUACGUGUAAGCUUCUCAAGAUCAUUGUUUCUCCAUAGAACAACAAUCCCAACAUUCCGUGUAUUUACACAAAGACAUGUAGUACAUCCUAUGGACCAGGCACAGUUCUAAGCACUUUAAGAAUAAUAAUUCAUUUAAUUUUCAGGAAAACCAGACUGAAGGGCAGAAAGCUUAACUAAUUUUGCCAGGAUCAUAUCGCCAGCAAGUGGUAGAGCUGGGAUUUGAAUCCAGGCAGUCUACCUUUGGCAUGUGUGUGCUUAACCAUUAUGCCACCCUAUCUCUCCACAUGUCUAAUGGCAUAAUGUCUGGGUAGUAAGGAAGAACUUCAUCUUCCUUGGGUAGUAUGGAAGAUCAUUGAUCACACUGCUUACCUAAUAAGUGAAUCUCCUGAUAUAUAAAAAAAACUGCUUGAUUUUUCAUUAGUUCCUCAGAGAGUAGCUUCUUCUGGGUCAUAUUUUUUAAAGUUACUAACCAAUGGAAAAAUCACUCAAAAUACAGUGCCUUGAACAUAGAAUGGACGCAACUGCCUUGAAUUGAUUUGGAUUCCUUCCAGUCACAACUGUUGGAAGUAUUUACCCGAAAUGUUAAGAACCAUGAGAGCCAGUUGACCUAUUGCCAGAACAACAGCAAAUCAAAAAAGUGCUACGCCAGGCACCAGGAAUCUGAGGGAAAAGGAAAAACGCAUUUCCUCAGAAAAACAUCAAGGUACAGACUCUUCCAGAGCUAAGCACUGAAGCACCAACCCAGUCGAAGGUAAGAAGAGAAAGGUACUCAGAUAUUUGCAGGCAGUUUACAGUGGCCUACAGAGCGACUUACGACCUCACCAAGGAGCACUUCCUACCUUGCUCCAGGCUUGUCCACAAACACACUCCCGGUCGGCCACAGAGUUGCUCAAUUGGCAACAGGAAACAAUUAUCCCAUAGAAGAGAAUCUCCUCCUAUUUCUUCAUUAUUUUCCUACAAAUAAAUAUAUUCCAAUACACCUUUUCUGUCAGUUUAAUUCACUCACUAGGUUCACGAGAGCCUAGUUACUUCUAAUCUGGGAAGAGUCUGAUUCUCUUCCUUUAUUUGUGAUGGUGAAGAUAGAAGAUGCUCAUAAUGACAGACAUUAGCAAGUGCAUUGUGUGCAUGUGCGCACGCGCG